RNAcentral lists this transfer RNA (72 nucleotides) under bacterium. Its description in RNAcentral is "tRNA-Arg". It matches the Rfam family "tRNA". Rfam says of the family: Transfer RNA (tRNA) molecules are approximately 80 nucleotides in length. Their secondary structure includes four short double-helical elements and three loops (D, anti-codon, and T loops). The record is from RNAcentral.
GCCCCCGUAGCUUAAUGGACAAAGUCCUGGUCUUCGGAACCAGUAAUGGAAGUUCGAGUCUUCCCGGGGGCA